AUGAGAAAGAGCUAUGUCCAAUCAUCAAGCACCAACCAAGAGAAGAAAAACCCUUCAUCAUCUUCAUCAACUUCAUCAUUUUCAUCAUCUUCAUCAUCACAUGAGACAGAGAAGAAAGCAAUCACUCAUCAAACAAGAAAGCUAGAGAGGUUGCCAAGUGAAGAAGAUAUCAAUGCAAGUGCUGAUGCUUUCAUUAAGAACUUUAGAAAGCAGCUUAGGCUUCAAAGGCUUCAAUCUAUUGAGAAUUAUGAAAAAAUGCUUGCUAGGGGACGAUAG
Non-coding RNA from Vicia faba (fava bean), 276 nucleotides. Lineage: Eukaryota; Viridiplantae; Streptophyta; Magnoliopsida; Fabales; Fabaceae. The record is from the annotation of a GenBank genome assembly.